CCUAAAACUUGUGGUUCUGCUCCAAACCCUCGAUCAAAACUUUAUGCAUUCAAACUCAGAAUACCUUCCGGAAUUUGAAAUUGCCCUCUCAACAAUUGGAAUUCCUCUCUCGCUCAAUGUUUCGCCUCUUGACUCACCUGUCUAUUUAUAUUCCUCUCACAAUUCCCAUUUCGAUUCAAUUUCUCUCUUGAAAUGUUGUAGAUUCCUCUCUCAUAACCGACAAUUUCUCUCGCUUGUUCAUCACAACAAUUUCCUAACGAUCCUUCUGCAAUAAGCCCUCCUUGUCUCGUCAUUUUGUUUCUUGUCAAUGUGGGUUUGUUCAUGUCGCUGACAUAGAUUGCUAGAAGACCAAGAUGAAAAAAGUAGCUCAAGACUAAUCAACUUUGCUCUCUAUUGACAUCUAUCCAUCUCGGCUUGAAUCACCAUUUUCUAUCAUAGAUACAUGAUGGAUAUAUAAUUAUUGUGUUUCAAUGCAUAAUGGAGAAGAAGUCGAAAGCCUGACAUGCCCAAAUAUCUAUCACUUUACCAAAUAACUCUAUGGAUAAAGAAUGUACCACAAAACCUUUAUCCUGCCUCUUUAAUUUUUUGACAAACUGAAUAUUGUGACCAUUUUCCAUUUUAUGAUUUUUUUUCCAUAUAAGAAUCAGGUUCUAUGUGUAUAAGAGGGAGCCUUGAGUUUCUACAGUUCAACUUAAGUCUAGUAAGCUAAUAAACUUUCAGUGGGUUUCAAAUUCGUUAAGCAGGAUCAUUCUAAAGAGGCUGCAGUUGGAUAUGUUCAGGAAGCUUGUGCCUAUGACCAAUACACUCUUCCUAAACUGUAUGUAAGAUGCAAUACUGAGUCUCAUGUGCUAUUCAUUCUCAUGUUGUGAGAGUCAGAUCUCGCAGUGAUAGGAGGAAGCGUGACCCUCAGAAUUUUAUCAGGUGCAGGCAUUGGCAGGUUCCUAUCCAUUUCCAAGUGUAAGCUAGCUCCAAGUCAUUCAAUUCCACUAAAUGAAUUCAUUCCCCAAUCCAAGUCAAGUCUUCCCAAGCAUCGCUCUUUUUUUAAUAAAUUAUGUUUUUUUUCUCCCUUCUCUUACUAGAAAAUUUUGUUGAUGCUAAAAGUUACAAUAUUUAUUGGAUUAGAUUGUUACAUUUGUUCAUUUUGCCCUUAGCUUAGCCUGCUAUUAGGUAGGUCAAAAGUAAUAAAAGUUACUAGAAAAUGAUGUUGAAAUGAUUUUGUUUGAUUGAAAUUGAUGUAAAAAUAGGUAAUUGAUGUAAUAUCUCACUCCAGAUUUUUAGAGAAAAAUCGGUGAUAAAACAUCAUCCACGUUUUCAAAAGUAAAGCAGCCAUACAUACCACACCUGUUUUUUCAAAACACAGGUAUUUAAGGAUGUUUUCUACAUCGGUUUUUUUACUAAAACCGGCCUCAAACAUUUCCUCAUGAUGCAUAAUUAAUAAAUAUUAAAACCUGUCAAAAAUAUUUAAC
Long non-coding RNA from Vicia villosa (hairy vetch), 1466 nucleotides. RefSeq lists it as uncharacterized. The transcript has 6 exons. The record is from RefSeq and is a predicted model, not a curated record. Lineage: Eukaryota; Viridiplantae; Streptophyta; Magnoliopsida; Fabales; Fabaceae.